GGCCAAGAUGCCAGGUCGCUAGUCCCCUGUAGUGCCGUGGGCCAGGAUGAGCUGCUUUGAAGAAGCUGCCGCCCCUUGCGCCCUGGACCAGAGAGAGGAACACGUGUGAAUGAAGAAUGAGGUUUUGCAUGCUGGGACCAGUAUGGGAUGCUGGUUGCUGGUUUGCUGGACCCCAGCAUGGGGAGCAAGUGUGCUGGUGGACUAGCAUAAGAAGCCUAUCUGGAACCGCAACAACAACAAAACAGCCCAACAGAUACACAUGGAGCAGACACACAGGAAACGCACCUGAAGGAGACACAUACAUGGGGGAACUGCAGACCUGCAGCACGGUUCUCAUGAACCAGUG
This is a long non-coding RNA of Onychostoma macrolepis, 346 nucleotides long. RefSeq lists it as uncharacterized. The record is from RefSeq and is a predicted model, not a curated record. The transcript is spliced from 3 exons. NCBI's taxonomy places the organism in Eukaryota, Metazoa, Chordata, Actinopteri, Cypriniformes, Cyprinidae.